Molecule: long non-coding RNA, 290 nt
Filed under: Phoenix dactylifera (date palm)
Lineage: Eukaryota; Viridiplantae; Streptophyta; Magnoliopsida; Arecales; Arecaceae
Description: long non-coding RNA (PDAC_LNC003939)
Source: RNAcentral
UUCGUGCCAAAUCAGAAGAGGGUCAAGUAAAGAAGAAGCCGAGCUCCUUCAUCUUCAAAACUCGUUUGAGGGCUUCUCUUUACUCUAUUUGUUUAUAUUGUCAUAUUUGCUUGUUUAAGAAGCUUUGUUUUGUUUUAUACUUUGUUUUAAUAUCUUGUAACUUGAUUCAAUCAAGGGAUUGAAUCAAGGGGUUAAGGUUUGUUGGUGAGCCAAAGAAAAAACCAACUGUGUAAGGUUUGUUGGUGAGCCAAAGGGAAAACCAACUGUGUAAGGUUUGUUGGUGAGCCAAA